RNAcentral lists this long non-coding RNA (333 nucleotides) under Lathyrus oleraceus (garden pea). Its description in RNAcentral is "Pisum sativum (pea) long non-coding RNA (PSAT_LNC040446)". Lineage: Eukaryota; Viridiplantae; Streptophyta; Magnoliopsida; Fabales; Fabaceae. The record is from RNAcentral.
CGAAAUGCUUCCACGAUGUAAUGCAUAUACUGAAUCCAAAUACUAGUUUGCAACAGUAAUGUUUCAAUAAUGUCUACACGGAUGCUAGUUUAUAACAGUAAAGAACAAAUGCAGAAAUUCGACAGCACCACAGCGGAUAUGAACCAAGCAUAUGCCAUAACAAUGUACUCAUCACAGUAAGCAAGCCUAGAAGAUAGCAUUAUCAAAAAAAAAAAAAUGUAGAUUUUCACUGCUACAGGUUUGUAACCACUGCCGAAAAGUUAAACCGAGGAGUUACCGUAAUCGUAGUAAUUGCAGUAGAGCCCAAAUCAAAACAGCAGCAGCUUGAGAUCU